Molecule: transfer RNA, 72 nt
Filed under: Bacillota bacterium
Lineage: Bacteria; Bacillati; Bacillota
Description: tRNA-Gly
Rfam family: tRNA
About the family: Transfer RNA (tRNA) molecules are approximately 80 nucleotides in length. Their secondary structure includes four short double-helical elements and three loops (D, anti-codon, and T loops).
Source: RNAcentral
GCGGGAGUAGUUCAGCGGUAGAACAUCUGCUUCCCAAGCAGAGGGUCGCGGGUUCGAGUCCCGUCUCCCGCU